This 492-nucleotide ribosomal RNA is filed under the name uncultured bacterium. Its description in RNAcentral is "partial 16S ribosomal RNA". It matches the Rfam family "Bacterial small subunit ribosomal RNA", at positions 29 to 507 of the family's 1533-position model. The record is from RNAcentral.
AGUGAACGCUGGCGGUAGGCCUAACACAUGCAAGUCGAACGGCAGCACAGUAAGAGCUUGCUCUUACGGGUGGCGAGUGGCGGACGGGUGAGGAAUACAUCGGAAUCUACUUUUUCGUGGGGGAUAACGUAGGGAAACUUACGCUAAUACCGCAUACGACCUACGGGUGAAAGCAGGGGAUCUUCGGACCUUGCGCGAUUGAAUGAGCCGAUGUCGGAUUAGCUAGUUGGCGGGGUAAAGGCCCACCAAGGCGACGAUCCGUAGCUGGUCUGAGAGGAUGAUCAGCCACACUGGGACUGAGACACGGUCCAGACUCCUACGGGAGGCAGCAGUGGGGAAUAUUGGACAAUGGGCGCAAGCCUGAUCCAGCCAUACCGCGUGGGUGAAGAAGGCCUUCGGGUUGUAAAGCCCUUUUGUUGGGAAAGAAAAGCAGCAGGUUAAUACCCCGCUGUUCUGACGGUACCAAAAGAAUAAGCACCGGCUAACUUCGUG